UCCUCUCAGCGCCCGCCGCCGGCCGGUCCAUCCCCCGACGCUCUGAGGUCACCGACGGGGCCGGGCUGAGGUGGGCGGAGGGACAGAGGGAAGAUGGCGGCCGAGGCCGGAUAUUGGCGCCGCCUCCCCCAAUCCUGGAGCCGGCGCAGAUGAGGCGGCUCGGCUGGGGCCCGCGGCGCGUCGGAACCGGAGCAGGGGGGGACCCUGGCAGUGGGGCCUGGCCCUGAUAUAUGCUGGCGCCUCGGCUAGAGUGAGUGGCGGCGGCGCCUCUUUCCUCCGGCUCUUUCCCUGUCGCUGUGAGUCUGAGCGGGUGGCGGGCGGCCGAGGCGGCGGGGCCGGGAUGGAGGACAUUAACUCCAAUGUGAACGCGGACCAGGAGGUGCGGAAGCUGCAGGAGCUGGUGAAGAAGCUGGAGAAGCAGAACGAACAGCUGAGGAGCCGCUCCGGGGCCGUGCAGGGCGCCGGCUCCCUUGGGCCUGGCAGCCCGGUUCGGGCCGGCGCGUCCACUCCCUCCUCCGGAGCGGCGUCCCCUAGGGGCUUCCCCUUGGGCCUCAGCGCCAAGUCGGGCUGCGGGGCCGGGUCGGGCCCGAGGCGGACGAGUAGCGAGGAGCUGCGGGACACCACCUCCUUGCUGGCAGCGGGCGAGGGCGGCUUGCUGGACGAGGUGGAGCCGCUGCGGCCCGAGGAACUGGAGCGCCUGUCAGGCUGGGAGGAGGAGGAGGAGAGCUGGCUGUAUUCAUCACCAAAGAAAAAACUUACACCAAUGCAGAAAUCAGUUAGUCCUUUAGUUUGGUGCAGGCAAGUUUUGGAUUACCCAAGUCCUGAUGUUGAAUGUGCUAAAAAGUCUCUUAUCCACAAACUUGAUCAAACUAUGUCAGCUCUCAAGAGGCAGAAUUUGUAUAAUAAUCCUUUCAACUCCAUCAGUUACACAAGUCCUUACAGUCCAAAUGCCAGUAGCCCAUACAGCAGUGGUUUCAAUUCUCCGUCCUCAACCCCAGUGCGACCUCCUAUAGUCAAACAGCUAAUACUUCCUGGAAAUUCAGGUAAUUUGAAAAGUUCGUCAGACAGAAAUCCUCCACUCAGUCCUCAAUCCUCUAUAGACAGUGAAUUAAGUGCUUCAGAAUUAGAUGAAGAUUCAAUUGGAUCCAAUUAUAAGCUAAAUGAUGUAACUGAUGUGCAGAUUCUAGCUCGGAUGCAGGAAGAAAGUCUCCGGCAAGAAUAUGCAGCCACCGCGUCUCGGCGCAGUUCUGGUUCAUCUUGCAAUUCUACAAGACGGGGUACUUUUAGUGAUCAGGAACUUGAUGCACAAAGUUUAGAUGAUGAAGAUGACAAUAUGCAUCAUGCAGUAUACCCUGCUGUUAACAGGUUUUCACCAUCACCACGCAAUUCACCUCGACCAUCACCUAAGCAGUCACCCCGAAAUUCACCUCGUUCUCGAUCUCCUGCUCGGGGAAUAGAAUAUAGUAGAGUGUCCCCACAGCCUAUGAUUAGCCGCUUACAGCAACCUCGCCUUUCCCUUCAAGGCCAUCCCACAGAUUUACAGACAACCAGUGUUAAAAAUGAAGAAAAACUAAGACGCAGUCUUCCAAACCUAUCCCGAACAUCCAGUACACAAGUUGACUCAGUGAAAAGCAGCAGAAGUGACUCAAAUUUUCAAGUGCCAAAUGGAGGAAUACCUCGCAUGCAACCUCAGGCUUCAGCCACUUCGCAAAGGCUGAAAAAUUUGCCUCGUACUUCCCUCAAAGCCAAACAGUUGCUUCAAACUUCAUCUACAAAAAGAGUACCUUCUCCAGGCAAAUUCCGCUCCCCUGCAGCACCAUCUCCUUUGGCUCUCCGGCAACCAGUAAAAGCAUUUAGUAACCAUGGCUCUGGUUCUCCUGGUAGCCAAGAAACAACACAACUCAUGCAAACCACCUCCUCACCUGGGCCUCCCAUGGUUCAGAACACAGUCCCAGCAAAUCCUCCCAGCAAUAUCAACAGCACUACUCUAACCAGACCUGCAGGGACAACUGUGAUGAGAAGUGGCUUGCCCAGACCCAGUGCCCCUUCUGCUGGGGGUAUACCAGUGCCUCGCAGCAAACUUGCACAGCCUGUUCGCAGAUCCUUGCCAGCUCCUAAAACCUACAGUAGCAUGAAAGAUGACAGUUGGAAAGAUGGCUGUUAUUGACCAGCAAAGACAAGAAUGCAGAGUCCACAGCUUCAUGGAUACCCCUUCACCAGGCUAAGAGACAACUUUUAUAUGCAGACUGUUCAGAUAAGACUCUUGGGAUUUAUAAAAUCCCAGCCCUCUCUGUCUUAAUUAGCACAAACUGACAGAGAUGAUCAAGCAGCACUUUAAUGACAUUUAACAUCAGAUGUGUUUGGUAAUCAUACAAUCACUCUCCACGGAAUCACUUUUAGUUUUGUUUAAUAGAAACUAGGUUGAUUUUUUAAUAUUUGACAGAGGCCAAUAUCUGGGCAAAAAACUAAUGGAUGCCAAAGAGAAAUGCCCAUUUGUAAAUGAGAGAGUACCUUUGUGCACAAGAAACUGGUGAAUUCAAGCUAUCCAAAACUUCACAUUCAACCUAAUUUACUGUAUAAAUAGUAUCAAUAAAUAUUUGUGUUAAUGAGAAGUAAUAUUCUGACUACUUAUCUAAAAUGUUUCACUAGUGUUUCACUAGUUCUCCAGGAAACUAGAUUGAGAUGGCGGGGGGGCAGGGUGGGAAGAAACCUGGGCUAGAGAUUUAAAACAUGAUACCUAAAUUUGGAAGAAUCCUAUAAGUUAUUUUUGCAGAUUCAUUAGAAAAAUUAUUUUGUUUAAUCUUAAGUUUUGGGUGUAGCUCACAUAUCACCACCACACGUUAGUGUUACAGCAUGCAUCCAUCAUGUUGCAUUGACACAUCGGACUUCUGUGUGUUUGUUUUGAUUGCCAAAAGGGCUUAAUAUCAGUUGUACAAUCUUUCUAAACUUUAUAGCUCCUGGCUCAGGAAAGAUAGCCUUUGCUAUUGAAGCCAACUUCUUCACAUGCUGUCAUCUGUUACAGAACUAAGAGUUCUUGUUUUUAUUAACAGGUUUCCACGAUGGGAAAGAGCAAGUAGUAUGCGUGUUUAUUCUUGAUAUAAAUAACACCACCUCAGUGCUUACAACCUGGAACAAAACCAUACAAUAAAACCGGGGAGGGAAAUCUAUGCACUUACCUUACAAAAUCUCUGGGAGCAGUGUGCCCCCCACUGCGAAGUCCUUCAUCAGGAACUACUCAGCAUCUCAGCAUCAAGCCACCAUAGCUUGGAACUAUUACGUGGGCCUCUCACUGUUGUGGCCUCUUCCGUUGCAGAGCACAGGCUCCGGACGCACAGGCUCAGCGGCCAUGGCUCACGGGCCCAGCCGCUCCGCGUCAUGUGGGAUCUUCCCGGACUGGGGCACGAACCCGUGUCCCCUGCAUCGGCAGGUGGACUCUCAACCACUGCACCACCAGGGAAGCCCGCUCAUAAAUAUUUUUAAGGGAUUGUAUGAGAACUUGGUGGCCUCAUGAGGAAGAUGGUUAGAGCUGCAAGAUGGAAGGAUGCUAAAUUCUCGAGUCUCUUCCUUGAAAAGGGUUUGACUUUGACGGACCACACCCUAUAGUAACCUCACCAGAAAGGGUGCAUGAGAGGUAAGUUUUUUGAAAUAUUGCCUGUUGAAAUUCUCAUUAUCCUAGCCUGGUAAUUUAUGAAUAGUUUAACUGGGUUGAGAAUUUUAGAUCAGCAAUCCUUUUCCUUCUGAAUUAUGAAGGCAUGACUCUACUGCCUUUAAAAAAUUUUUUUUCAUUUCUGAAAAUUCUCUGCUUCUUUUUCAAAACUGCUAUGUCAUUCUCACAGUGCCUUGUUUUCUGAAGAUAUUUUAAGUUUAGUUCUUUAAACUUGGUAAGCAUAGUUUAAAGUUCAUGACUGAUCAUUCCAACAUUGAUUCUCAUUCAGGUUCAUGUUCUGUUUUCCGGUGUGUUUCCACUGCUCACUGGACAUCACCCUAGAAAAAUGAUUUGUUGUGGUUCUCUGAGUCCUUGAUUGGAUGUGCCUUCUUGCAGGGCUUUGCAUAUGUUUCUGCCAGGUGCCUAUGGGCACUGUCAGGAAGGACCACAUCAAGGUUUGAGAGCUCCUGGCCCAACCAGGUUGGAUAUAUUCUAAAUACAAUUUCACGUGAGGACCAAUCCAUGGGUACAACCUCCCUAGGACACCUUCUUUUCCUUUUCCCCCCUUUUUCCUCUGCUGUCCUCCCCCCAGGUCCCUGCGGCUCAGGGGAAGCAGGGCGAGUCUAGUUCAGGUUUGCCAUUAUUGCUCUGAUGUUCUGCUUGCCUCUCUGGCUACAAGCUCUAGUCCGAAAAGUGACCUGAGAGUUCCUAACUGCCUUUUUAUAUCUUUACUGUUUUUAAAGUGUUUUUAUUUUCAGAAAUAAAUUUUGUCCAGUUUUUCAGCAGGACGAUGGCUCAGUUUCCUGGCGUGCCAUUAACUGGUAACAGAAAUGCUCCACUGAUUUCUUGCUUCCAGUAUUACUGUUAAGAAGUCCAAAGCUAUUCUGAUUCUUGAUCCUUUAUAUAUGAUCAGUUAUUUUUUGUUGUUGCUGUUAUUUUUACUUCAUCCCUGGAAGCUCAUGUUAGUAUUGUGAAAUUUCAUAAUGUUGUGCUUUGAUGUGUGUCUGUUUUAUCCAUUGUGCUGAGCUGUCAGUGGGCCCUUUCAGUCUGCAGAUCACAUCCUUAGAUUCUAAGAAAUGUCCUUGAAUUACUUCACUAAAUAUUUACUUCACUCAGCUUUCUAUGUUCUCCUUCUAGGAAUGCCUAUUAGAUAUUUUACCUCAUAUACUGGCCCUCUGUUAUGGAUUGAUGUGUGUGUCCCCCAAAAUUCAUAGGUUAAAAUCUAAUGUGAUGGUAUUAGGAGGUGGGGUCCUUAGAAGGUAGUUAGGUCAUGAGGGUGGAGCCCUCACGAAUGGAAAUAAUGCCCUUAUAAGAAGAGACCAAAGAGCUAACUCACUCUCUUUCUGUCAUGUGAAGAUAUCAAGAAGUCUGCAACCCUAACCUGACCGGGACCAGAACCAGAACCCGACCAUGUUGGUACCCUGAUCUCGGACUUCCAGCCUCCAGAACUGUGGGAGAUAAAUUUCUAUUGUUCACAGGCCUCUCAGAGUAUGCUACUCUAUUAUAGCAGCCCAAACUGACAAAGACACUAAUUUUUGUAAUCUUUUUCUCCUAUGUUCUGCCUCUGUCAUUUUACUUUACUUUUGUAGAAAAAUUCA
Globicephala melas (long-finned pilot whale) is the source of this 5244-nucleotide RNA transcript. It is a transcript of the gene named SLAIN motif family member 2, with no coding region annotated. NCBI's taxonomy places the organism in Eukaryota, Metazoa, Chordata, Mammalia, Artiodactyla, Delphinidae. The record is from RefSeq and is a predicted model, not a curated record.